RNAcentral lists this ribosomal RNA (991 nucleotides) under uncultured beta proteobacterium. RNAcentral's name for it is "bacterial SSU rRNA". It matches the Rfam family "Bacterial small subunit ribosomal RNA", at positions 505 to 1501 of the family's 1533-position model. Lineage: Bacteria; Pseudomonadati; Pseudomonadota; Betaproteobacteria. The record is from RNAcentral.
GUGCCAGCCGCCGCGGUAAUACGUAGGGUGCGAGCGUUAAUCGGAAUUACUGGGCGUAAAGCGUGCGCAGGCGGUUAUAUAAGACAGAUGUGAAAUCCCCGGGCUCAACCUGGGACCUGCAUUUGUGACUGUAUAGCUAGAGUACGGUAGAGGGGGAUAGAAUUCCACGUGUAGCAGUGAAAUGCGUAGAGAUGUGGAGGAACACCGAUGGCGAAGGCAGCCCCCUGGGUCAAGAUUGACGCUCAUGCACGAAAGCGUGGGGAGCAAACAGGACUAGAUACCCUGGUAGUCCACGCCCUAAACGAUGUCUACUAGUUGUCGGGUUUUAAUUAACUUGGUAACGCAGCUAACGCGUGAAGUAGACCGCCUGGGGAGUACGGUCGCAAGAUUAAAACUCAAAGGAAUUGACGGGGACCCGCACAAGCGGUGGAUGAUGUGGAUUAAUUCGAUGCAACGCGAAAAACCUUACCUACCCUUGACAUGUACGGAAGCCACGAGAGAUCGAGGUGUGCUCGAAAGAGAGCCGUAACACAGGUGCUGCAUGGCUGUCGUCAGCUCGUGUCGUGAGAUGUUGGGUUAAGUCCCGCAACGAGCGCAACCCUUGUCAUUAGUUGCUACGAAAGAGCACUCUAAUGAGACUGCCGGUGACAAACCGGAGGAAGGUGGGGAUGACGUCAAGUCCUCAUGGCCCUUAUGGGUAGGGCUUCACACGUCAUACAAUGGUACAUACAGAGGGCCGCCAACCCGCGAGGGGGAGCUAAUCCCAGAAAGUGUAUCGUAGUCCGGAUUGUAGUCUGCAACUCGACUACAUGAAGUUGGAAUCGCUAGUAAUCGCGGAUCAGCAUGUCGCGGUGAAUACGUUCCCGGGUCUUGUACACACCGCCCGUCACACCAUGGGAGCGGGUUUUACCAGAAGUAGGUAGCUUAACCGCAAGGGGGGCGCCUACCACGGUAGGAUUCGUGACUGGGGUGAAGUCGUAACAAGGUAACC